UCCGAUAUGGUGUAGUGGCCAACAUGAUGCCCUCUCAAGCAAUUGCGAGGAAAGGCAUAGCCUCGAGUUCGAUUCUCGGUUUCGGAA
This 87-nucleotide transfer RNA is filed under the name Colletotrichum orbiculare MAFF 240422. Its description in RNAcentral is "tRNA-Glu for anticodon CUC". It matches the Rfam family "tRNA". From Rfam's summary of the family: Transfer RNA (tRNA) molecules are approximately 80 nucleotides in length. Their secondary structure includes four short double-helical elements and three loops (D, anti-codon, and T loops). Lineage: Eukaryota; Fungi; Ascomycota; Sordariomycetes; Glomerellales; Glomerellaceae. The record is from Rfam by way of RNAcentral.